Non-coding RNA from Gossypium raimondii (Peruvian cotton), 106 nucleotides. NCBI's taxonomy places the organism in Eukaryota, Viridiplantae, Streptophyta, Magnoliopsida, Malvales, Malvaceae. The record is from Rfam.
AUUUCGUGAUGAGUGCUUCUUCAUAAUAGUUCUUUAAACCUUUCCCAUGCCUCAUGCAAGGACUCGUCAUCCAUCUGUUGGAAGGUAGUGAUCUCAUUCCUUAACU